UAUGACCUACGGGGGGCAGCAGUAGGGAAUUUUCGUCAAUGGGCGCAAGCCUGAACGAGCAAUGCCGCGUGAACGAGGAAGGUCUUCGGAUCGUAAAGUUCUGUUGAAGGGGAAAAAGAGAGGAGAGAGGAAAUGCUUUCUGAUUGAUAUUACCCUUCGAGGAAGUCACGGCUAACUACGUGCCAGCAGCCGCGGUAAUACGUAGGUGGCGAGCGUUAUCCGGAAUGAUUGGGCGUAAAGAGUGCGUAGGCGGCCUGCUCAGUCUGGAGUGAAAGGUACGGGCUCAACCGGUACAGGCGCGGGAA
RNAcentral lists this ribosomal RNA (305 nucleotides) under uncultured bacterium. RNAcentral's name for it is "bacterial SSU rRNA". It matches the Rfam family "Bacterial small subunit ribosomal RNA", at positions 333 to 631 of the family's 1533-position model. The record is from RNAcentral.